Molecule: ribosomal RNA, 292 nt
Filed under: uncultured Acidobacteriota bacterium
Lineage: Bacteria; Pseudomonadati; Acidobacteriota
Description: uncultured Acidobacteria bacterium partial 16S ribosomal RNA
Source: RNAcentral
GGACUACACGGGUAUCUAAUCCUGUUUGCUCCCCUAGCUUUCGUCUCUCAGCGUCAGUUGCGAUCCAGUGAGCCGCCUUCGCCACGGGUGUUCCUGCAGAUAUCUACGCAUUUCACCGCUACACCUGCAAUUCCACUCACCUCUCUCGCACUCUAGCACGGCAGUUUCGGAAGCAGCCCCUGAGUUAAGCCCAGAGAUUUCACUCCCGACUUGCCACACCGCCUACGGACCCUUUACGCCCAGUUAUUCCGAGCAACGCUGGCCCCCUACGUCUUACCGCGGCUGCUGGCAC